RNAcentral lists this ribosomal RNA (918 nucleotides) under uncultured bacterium. RNAcentral's name for it is "bacterial SSU rRNA". It matches the Rfam family "Bacterial small subunit ribosomal RNA", at positions 246 to 1155 of the family's 1533-position model. The record is from RNAcentral.
UAGUUGGUGGGGUAAAGGCCUACCAAGGCGACGAUCUGUAGCGGGUCUGAGAGGAUGAUCCGCCACACUGGAACUGAGACACGGUCCAGACUCCUACGGGAGGCAGCAGUGGGGAAUUUUGGACAAUGGGGGCAACCCUGAUCCAGCCAUGCCGCGUGAGUGAAGAAGGCCUUCGGGUUGUAAAGCUCUUUCGUCCGGGAAGAAAUCGCACAGGCUAAUACUCUGUGUGGAUGACGGUACCGGAAUAAGAAGCACCGGCUAACUACGUGCCAGCAGCCGCGGUAAUACGUAGGGUGCGAGCGUUAAUCGGAAUUACUGGGCGUAAAGCGUGCGCAGGCGGUUUUGUAAGACAGGCGUGAAAUCCCCGGGCUCAACCUGGGAACUGCGCUUGUGACUGCAAGGCUAGAGUACGGCAGAGGGGGGUGGAAUUCCACGUGUAGCAGUGAAAUGCGUAGAGAUGUGGAGGAACACCGAUGGCGAAGGCAGCCCCCUGGGCCGAUACUGACGCUCAUGCACGAAAGCGUGGGUAGCAAACAGGAUUAGAUACCCUGGUAGUCCACGCCCUAAACGAUGUCAACUAGGUGUUGGGUGGGUAAAACCAUUUAGUACCGUAGCUAACGCGUGAAGUUGACCGCCUGGGGAGUACGGCCGCAAGGUUAAAACCCAAAGGAAUUGACGGGGACCCGCACAAGCGGUGGAUGAUGUGGAUUAAUUCGAUGCAACGCGAAAAACCUUACCUACCCUUGACAUGUCCGGAAUCCCUGAGAGAUUGGGGAGUGCCCGAAAGGGAAUCGGAACACAGGUGCUGCAUGGCUGUCGUCAGCUCGUGUCGUGAGAUGUUGGGUUAAGUCCCGCAACGAGCGCAACCCUUGUCGUUAAUUGCCAUCAUUAAGUUGGGCACUUUAGCGAGACUGCCGG